UACGUAGGGUGCAAGCGUUGUCCGGAAUUAUUGGGCGUAAAGAGCUCGUAGGCGGUCUGUCGCGUCGGCUGUGAAAACUCGGGGCUCAACCCCGAGCCUGCAGUCGAUACGGGCAGACUAGAGUGCUGUAGGGGAGACUGGAAUUCCUGGUGUAGCGGUGAAAUGCGCAGAUAUCAGGAGGAACACCGGUGGCGAAGGCGGGUCUCUGGGCAGUAACUGACGCUGAGGAGCGAAAAGCGUGGGGAGCGAACAGG
This 254-nucleotide ribosomal RNA is filed under the name uncultured bacterium. RNAcentral describes it as "partial 16S ribosomal RNA". It matches the Rfam family "Bacterial small subunit ribosomal RNA", at positions 524 to 776 of the family's 1533-position model. The record is from RNAcentral.